RNAcentral lists this ribosomal RNA (472 nucleotides) under uncultured bacterium. RNAcentral describes it as "SSU rRNA". It matches the Rfam family "Bacterial small subunit ribosomal RNA", at positions 26 to 521 of the family's 1533-position model. The record is from RNAcentral.
AGGAUGAACGCUGGCGGCGUGCCUAACACAUGCAAGUCGAACGUCCUGUCUCGCAAGAGGCAGGGAGUGGCGGACGGGUGAGUACCACGUGGGUCAUCUACCGUGAGGUGAGGAAUACCGGCGAGAAAUCGCCGACAAGACCGCAUAGGCUCGAUGCAAGUCGAGCAAAGCUCUUUCGAGAGAGGGAGCGCCACACGAGGAGCCUGCGCCCGAUUAGCUAGCUGGUGGAGUAACGGUUCACCAGGGCGACGAUCGGUAGCUGGUCUGAGAGGACGAUCAGCCACACUGGGAUUGAGAACGGCCCAGACUCCUACGGGGGGCAGCAGUGAGGAAUUUUCGUCAAUGGGGGCAACCCUGAACGAGCAACGCCGCGUGCAGGAGAAGGUUUCGGAUCGUAAACUGCUUUUCUCGGGAAGAGAAUGGACGGUACCCGAGGAAUCAGCCCGGCUAACUACGUGCCAGCAGCCGCGGU